CACCAGCAUGGCACAUGUAUUCAUAUGUAACUAACCUGCACAAUGUGCACAUGUACCCUAAAACUUAAAGUAUAAUUAAAAAAAAAAACAAACUUUCCUAUGGCAACACAUUAACUAUGAGACACAUACAAAUCCAUUGCAGAGCAAACAAACCGAACCAUUACCUGGUUGCUUCUUAUAUUCUCUAUCUUUCACUUUGUAAUCUAGAAAUGCCAGAUUACUAUAGUUCUCUAAUGCAACCAUGAUGAAUUAUGCACACUGUUGUCCAAAAUAAUUCCUCUGCUUGCAAUCUUACAAACCUUGACUUUGUUGACUCAUGCUUGAGACUUAGCUCAUACUUAUAUCUUCCAGAAAGCGGCCUAUAACCCCUGAAUUCCUAAGUCUUCACCGUGGACCUUUCAUGUUAAUCCCAUAGCACCCUCUGCUGUCUUCCAUUAUAGCAUGUAUCAUAGUGCUUUUUUCCAUCUUUCCUUCUUAUUGAACUGGAAUUGUGAACUCCUCAAUGUCAAGGACAAAUGUAUUGACCAGUAUUUUAUUCAUCUCUCUGCUGUACUCCUCUUUCCACCUUUUGGAUGGGAACAGGUGGACAGAGAGAGACAGAGUAAAGCAGAGACAAAGAUACCAGAAAUAUCGAGAGAGGAAACAGUGACUAAGGGAACUCUAGAGCAGAACUACUUGCUUAAAGUAAGUCCCAUUACCUAAGAUUGUGUGGGUGUGUCUCUGUUGCUUGCAAUCUGAAAGAAUAGAAUGAACAUAACACUCAAUAAAUGUUCAUGGGCUUGUCUGAUAGUAGUGGGUUAUCACAGCAUAUUAACAUUAGUGUCGCUGAAGUCAGUAUACAACCCCAUCACUGAUAAAUUUGAUUGGUUUAAAAGAAAUUAAAAUAAACAAAUAAAUAAAUGUUCAUGGGAUAGCUUUCUGGUAAGCAACAAAUAUCCUUUUUACUUCUAUCACAUGCUCUGUUUCUUCACUCUAAUCAUUUUUUUUUCCCAUUGGGAAUGUCUGUUCCAAUUAUCUAUGCCCAUUCAGACCGAACUCUUUAAGCUUGAGUAAAAUCCCAUUGUCUCGAGGAAGCCUUCUCCAAUUACUCCAGGAAACAUUAUUUUUAUCAUGUCUGAAACCCUAGAAUACUGACUCUUAUUCUCAUCAUUCAUAAAUAUUUUAGGACUUCCUUUCCUUCAUGUUUAUUUAAUCUCAAAAAGUGCUGUCUGAUUAAACAUAUUGAUAAUUGUGUUGUGGUUGAUUCCCAUAUUUGGUAUUGACGAUAAAUGAAAAUAAUGAUUAAUUGAAUGUUUUUCUCUUUUUCUGGUUUUCCUUUCAGUUAAAAUAUUUGUAGACCUAUAAUUUUAAAAGUUCAGAUGUUUAACCUUGAAUGUAUUUAGACUUUUGUUUAAUCUUCCAUGUGUUAUUAUGAAAAACUAGUAUUUCUAGUUUCUGUUCAAUUUGCCACAACUUCUCUAGGUGACCUUGGGCAAAAUUAUUUCCUC
RNAcentral lists this long non-coding RNA (1487 nucleotides) under Homo sapiens (human). Its description in RNAcentral is "HSALNT0146734". Lineage: Eukaryota; Metazoa; Chordata; Mammalia; Primates; Hominidae. The record is from RNAcentral.